Molecule: regulatory RNA element, 134 nt
Organism: Brucella melitensis
Lineage: Bacteria; Pseudomonadati; Pseudomonadota; Alphaproteobacteria; Hyphomicrobiales; Brucellaceae
Rfam family: Brucella babR 5'UTR
About the family: It can bind to 5' untranslated region of virB transcriptional regulator BabR and mediate its effects on babR expression.
Source: Rfam
UAAUCUUCGUAGAAGAAAUAUGAAAGAUAUGCUAGGAAUGUUUAGCGAUACAUUUUACCAAAAAUCGCUGCGAUUCCAAGAAUUCAUAUUUAUUUUGAAACGCUACUGGGAUGUCUGCAAUGAAAUGGGAAACA